CCUACGGGUGACAGCAGUGGGGAAUAUUGCACAAUGGGGGAAACCCUGAUGCAGCGACGCCGCGUGAGUGUAGAAGUCUUUCGGUCUGUAAAGCUCUGUCAGCAGGGAAGAAAAUGACGGUACCUGACCAAGACGCCCCGACUAACUACGUCCCAGCAGCCGCGGUACUCCGGAGGAGGCACGCGUUAUCCGGAUUUGCUGGGUGUAAGGGGAGCGUAGACGGCAGGGAAAGUCGGGAGGGAAAGGCGGGGGCUCAAGGCACGGACUGCCAUGGAAACUGCCAGGCUGGAGUGCAGGAGAGGUAAGUGGAAUUACUAGUGUAGCGGUGAAAUGCGUAGAUAUUAGGAGGAACACCAGUUGCGAAGGCGGCUGACGGGACUGUAACUGACGUUGAGGCUCGAAAGCGUGGGGAGCAAACAGGAUUAGAUACCCCAGUAGUC
RNAcentral lists this ribosomal RNA (440 nucleotides) under uncultured bacterium. RNAcentral's name for it is "partial 16S ribosomal RNA". It matches the Rfam family "Bacterial small subunit ribosomal RNA", at positions 338 to 795 of the family's 1533-position model. The record is from RNAcentral.